RNAcentral lists this ribosomal RNA (253 nucleotides) under uncultured bacterium. RNAcentral's name for it is "partial 16S ribosomal RNA". It matches the Rfam family "Bacterial small subunit ribosomal RNA", at positions 524 to 776 of the family's 1533-position model. The record is from RNAcentral.
UACGGGGGGGGUAAGCGUUGUUCGGAAUUACUGGGCGUAAAGGGCUCGUAGGCGGCCAACUAAGUCGGACGUGAAAUCCCUCAGCUUAACUGGGGAACUGCGUCCGAUACUGGAUGGCUUGGAUUUGGGAGAGGGAUGCGGAAUUCCAGGUGUAGCGGUGAAAUGCGUAGACAUCUGGAGGAACACCUGCGGCGAAGGCGGGUUGCUGGGCCGACACUGACGCUGAGGCGCGAAAGCCAGGGGAGCAAACGGG